UACGUAGGUGGCAAGCGUUGUCCGGAUUUAUUGGGCGUAAAGCGAGCGCAGGCGGUUUCUUAAGUCUGAUGUGAAAGCCCCCGGCUCAACCGGGGAGGGUCAUUGGAAACUGGGAGACUUGAGUGCAGAAGAGGAGAGUGGAAUUCCAUGUGUAGCGGUGAAAUGCGUAGAUAUAUGGAGGAACACCAGUGGCGAAGGCGGCUCUCUGGUCUGUAACUGACGCUGAGGCUCGAAAGCGUGGGGAGCGAACAGGAUUAGAUACCCUGGUAGUCCACGCCGUAAACGAUGAGUGCUAAGUGUUGGAGGGUUUCCGCCCUUCAGUGCUGCAGCAAACGCAUUAAGCACUCCGCCUGGGAGUACGACCGCAAGGUUGAAACUCAAAGGAAUUGACGGGGCCGCACAAGCGGUGGAGCAUGUGGUUUAAUUCGAAGCAACGCGAAGAACCUUACCAGGUCUUGACAUCCUUUGACCACUCUAGAGAUAGAGCUUCCCCUUCGGGGCAAAGUGACAGGUGGUGCAUGGUUGUCGUCAGCUCGUGUCGUGAGAUGUUGGGUUAAGUCCCGCAACGAGCGCAACCCUUAUUGUUAGUUGCCAUCAUUUAGUUGGGCACUCUAGCGAGACUGCCGGUGACAAACCGGAGGAAGGUGGGGAUGACGUCAAAUCAUCAUGCCCCUUAUGACCUGGGCUACACACGUGCUACAAUGGGAAGUACAACGAGUUGCGAAGUCGCGAGGCUAAGCUAAUCUCUUAAAGCUUCUCUCAGUUCGGAUUGUAGGCUGCAACUCGCCUACAUGAAGCCGGAAUCGCUAGUAAUCGCGGAUCAGCACGCCGCGGUGAAUACGUUCCCGGGCCUUGUACACACCGCCCGUCACACCACGAGAGUUUGUAACACCCGAAGUCGGUGAGGUAACCUUUUUGGAGCCAGCCGCCUAAGGUGGGAUAGAUGAUUGGGGUGAAGUCGUAACAAGGUAGCCGUAUCGGAAGGUGCGGCUGGAUCACCU
RNAcentral lists this ribosomal RNA (1001 nucleotides) under Enterococcus casseliflavus. Its description in RNAcentral is "bacterial SSU rRNA". It matches the Rfam family "Bacterial small subunit ribosomal RNA", at positions 524 to 1528 of the family's 1533-position model. The record is from RNAcentral. Lineage: Bacteria; Bacillati; Bacillota; Bacilli; Lactobacillales; Enterococcaceae.